Molecule: non-coding RNA, 45 nt
Filed under: Schistosoma margrebowiei
Lineage: Eukaryota; Metazoa; Platyhelminthes; Trematoda; Strigeidida; Schistosomatidae
Source: RNAcentral
AUCCAUCUGACCAGUCCCAAAUAGGACGAAAUGCACAUCCUGGAU